RNAcentral lists this unclassified non-coding RNA (240 nucleotides) under soil metagenome. Its description in RNAcentral is "partial contains 5.8S ribosomal RNA, internal transcribed spacer 2, and large subunit ribosomal RNA". The record is from RNAcentral.
AACCUAGCACACCUGCGGUGUGUACCUGCGGAAGGAUCAUUACACAAUACAAUAUGAAGGCUGUCCGCAGCUGGAGUAUUUUAUUACCCUUGUCUUUUGCGCACUUGUUGUUCCCUGGGCGGGUUCGCUCGCCACCAGGACCACCAAAUAAACCUUUUUUAUGCAGUUGCAAUCAGCGUCAGUACAAACAAUGUAAAUCAUUUACAACUUUCAACAAUGGAUCUCAGAUCGGAAGAGCAC